Molecule: ribosomal RNA, 253 nt
Filed under: uncultured bacterium
Lineage: Bacteria
Description: partial 16S ribosomal RNA
Rfam family: Bacterial small subunit ribosomal RNA
Source: RNAcentral
UACGUAGGGUCCGAGCGUUAAUCGGAAUUACUGGGCGUAAAGCGUGCGCAGGCGGUUUUGUAAGCCAGAUGUGAAAUCCCCGGGCUUAACCUGGGAAUGGCAUUUGGGACUGCAAAGCUGGAGUACGGCAGAGGGAGGUGGAAUUCCACGUGUAGCAGUGAAAUGCGUAGAGAUGUGGAGGAACACCGAUGGCGAAGGCAAUCCCCUGGGCCUGCACUGACGCUCAUGCACGAAAGCGUGGGGAGCAAACAGG